GCCGGUGAUGACUAUGUUAUAUCGACAGAAUCGCAGAUUAUAAUUUGCGUAAUGUGUUGAUAGAAAUUAUCAUGAACUAGGACGGUCUGAAGGC
This is a small nucleolar RNA of Pyrus x bretschneideri (Chinese white pear), 94 nucleotides long. RefSeq annotates it as small nucleolar RNA snoR20a. The record is from RefSeq and is a predicted model, not a curated record. The transcript has a single exon. Lineage: Eukaryota; Viridiplantae; Streptophyta; Magnoliopsida; Rosales; Rosaceae.